Solanum pennellii is the source of this 1007-nucleotide long non-coding RNA. RefSeq lists it as uncharacterized. The record is from RefSeq and is a predicted model, not a curated record. The transcript is spliced from 2 exons. NCBI's taxonomy places the organism in Eukaryota, Viridiplantae, Streptophyta, Magnoliopsida, Solanales, Solanaceae.
CAACUUAACUAGACAGAUCAAUUUACACUUAUUAACACAAUAGCGAGACCAACCUGAACAACUAGUAGAGUUGGCUCCGUCCAAUGUCCACGUAUCGAAUUGAAUAUUAAUAAACGAAUGCAACCUCAACUAGAGAGAUAUCAACUUGCGCGUAUUAACAUGAUUUAUAAAGAAAUAUUUCUCUAACUUUUGGGUCAUAUAGCACAAAAACAGGCCCAGUAUUCACUUCAGGCCCAAUCUCAAGUCAUCUUAUAUUGUAGCUAGUACACUUCUUGCCUAUUAUAUGUUUGAUGAAAUGCCUAGCUGGUAAUUUGAGCUGUUUGUGUUUGAUUUUGGUGCAGAAAAGUGGAGGAUGGGCGAUUACUCAUGAUCUGUGUAAUGUCAUCGCUGUGCUUGUAGCAUAAGCAGGGGCGGAUCUUGGAGGGGGCGAGGGUGUUCACCCCAACCUCCUCGGCUAAAAAUUACAAGGUAUAUUUUUAAAAAGCAACUUGUUGAUGGAUAUAUAAACUUGGAUUCCCGUAAACACAAGGCUAGCUAGUGGUUUAGGGAAAUUUAAAAAUUCACCUUGUGAUUCCAAGUUCAAAUCCCAGGCACUACAUUUUCAUUUUUUGACCCGGCUCCUUAGUGAAAAUUGUGGAUCCGCCAUUGAGAAUGAGGUUGCAGAUCUUCGACUUCAUGUGGCAGGGACUUAGUCUCGUAGUCUUUCGGUCUAUCCACGCUCUCUCUUGCUUCUCUCAUCAUAAAAAGGGUAGCCAUAUCCCAUGGUUCACAACAUAUUUGGUGAUGCAUUUGAGAAUUGCUCUUUGAUUCAACCUAUUUGGUGAUGCACAUAACUUUAUCUCCAACAUAAUCUUGCAGUUAAGAGGACAUCUUCUUACGUGCCAUUUUAGUCAUAACGGGCAGCACAAGGGGCUGCGACAUUCAAUCUUUAAGGUUCUUAGCACUGAACUCAUUGUACCCUUGAUAUUAUGAGUUUGAAAUAUAAUAUUAUUGAAACUUUAGUGGUC